AGAGUUUGAUCAUGGCUCAGGACGAACGCUGGCGGCGUGCUUAACACAUGCAAGUCGAGCGGAAAGGCCCUUCGGGGUACUCGAGCGGCGAACGGGUGAGUAACACGUGAGUAAUCUGCCCCUAGCUCUGGGAUAGCUCCGGGAAACCGGGAUUAAUACCGGAUACGACCACCUUAGACAUCUUUUGUGGUGGAAAGAAUUUCGGCUAGGGAUGAGCUCGCGGCCUAUCAGCUUGUUGGUGGGGUAACGGCCUACCAAGGCGACGACGGGUAGCCGGCCUGAGAGGGCGACCGGCCACACUGGGACUGAGACACGGCCCAGACUCCUACGGGAGGCAGCAGUGGGGAAUAUUGCGCAAUGGGCGAAAGCCUGACGCAGCGACGCCGCGUGGGGGAUGAAGGCCUUCGGGUUGUAAACCCCUUUCAGCAGGGACGAAGCGAAAGUGACGGUACCUGCAGAAGAAGCGCCGGCUAACUACGUGCCAGCAGCCGCGGUA
Molecule: ribosomal RNA, 496 nt
Filed under: uncultured Actinomycetes bacterium
Lineage: Bacteria; Bacillati; Actinomycetota; Actinomycetes
Description: bacterial SSU rRNA
Rfam family: Bacterial small subunit ribosomal RNA
Source: RNAcentral